RNAcentral lists this ribosomal RNA (397 nucleotides) under uncultured bacterium. RNAcentral describes it as "partial 16S ribosomal RNA". It matches the Rfam family "Bacterial small subunit ribosomal RNA", at positions 523 to 918 of the family's 1533-position model. The record is from RNAcentral.
AUACGUAGGGGGCGAGCGUUGUCCGGAAUGACUGGGCGUAAAGGGCGUGUAGGCGGCCUGAUAAGUUUGGAGUGAAAGUCCUGUUUUCAAGAUGGGAAUUGCUUUGGAUACUGUCGGGCUUGAGUGCAGAAGAGGUAAGCGGAAUUCCCAGUGUAGCGGUGAAAUGCGUAGAGAUUGGGAGGAACACCAGUGGCGAAGGCGGCUUACUGGGCUGUAACUGACGCUGAGGCGCGAAAGCGUGGGGAGCGAACAGGAUUAGAUACCCUGGUAGUCCACGCGGUAAACGAUGAAUGCUAGGUGUUGCGGGUAUCGACCCCUGCAGUGCCGGAGUAAACACAAUAAGCAUUCCGCCUGGGGAGUACGGCCGCAAGGUUGAAACUUAAAGGAAUUGACGGGG